Molecule: unclassified non-coding RNA, 448 nt
Filed under: Fermentozyma sake
Lineage: Eukaryota; Fungi; Ascomycota; Pichiomycetes; Serinales; Debaryomycetaceae
Description: [Candida] sake sequence contains 18S rRNA gene, ITS1, 5.8S rRNA gene, ITS2, 28S rRNA gene
Rfam family: 5.8S ribosomal RNA (bases 137-290)
Source: RNAcentral
AGUCGUAACAAGGUUUCCGUAGGUGAACCUGCGGAAGGAUCAUUAAAGUUUGCUUAAUUGCAUUACACAUGUUUUUUUAGAGAACUUGCUUGCAAGAACACUAAUAAUUUACUUAGUCAACAAAUAAAAAUAUCAAAACUUUCAACAACGGAUCUCUUGGUUCUCGCAUCGAUGAAGAACGCAGCGAAAUGCGAUACGUAAUAUGAAUUGCAGAUUUUCGUGAAUCAUCGAAUCUUUGAACGCACAUUGCGCCCUGUGGUAUUCCACAGGGCAUGCCUGUUUGAGCGUCAUUUCUCCCUCAAACCUCUGGUUUGGCGUUGAGUGAUACUCGGUUUACUUGAAAAACAUGAAAAGCAUAACUAUUAGGUUUUACCAACUCGUUAUACUAAUCUACAAGUUUGACCUCAAAUCAGGUAGGACUACCCGCUGAACUUAAGCAUAUCAAUAA